GCCCCCGUCGGUUAACAGGAUAAACCACGGACCUCCUAAGUCCGCACUGCAGGUUCGAGUCCUGCCGGGGGCGCCA
RNAcentral lists this transfer RNA (76 nucleotides) under Microbulbifer taiwanensis. Its description in RNAcentral is "tRNA-Arg". It matches the Rfam family "tRNA". Rfam says of the family: Transfer RNA (tRNA) molecules are approximately 80 nucleotides in length. Lineage: Bacteria; Pseudomonadati; Pseudomonadota; Gammaproteobacteria; Cellvibrionales; Microbulbiferaceae. RNAcentral also lists the same sequence under 9 other names. The record is from RNAcentral.